UGCAGUCGAACGGUGAACACGGAGCUUGCUCUGUGGGAUCAGUGGCGAACGGGUGAGUAACACGUGAGCAACCUGCCCCUGACUCUGGGAUAAGCGCUGGAAACGGCGUCUAAUACUGGAUAUGUGACGUGACCACAUGGUCUGCGUUUGGAAAGAUUUUUCGGUUGGGGAUGGGCUCGCGGCCUAUCAGCUUGUUGGUGAGGUAAUGGCUCACCAAGGCGUCGACGGGUAGCCGGCCUGAGAGGGUGACCGGCCACACUGGGACUGAGACACGGCCCAGACUCCUACGGGAGGCAGCAGUGGGGAAUAUUGCACAAUGGGCGAAAGCCUGAUGCAGCAACGCCGCGUGAGGGAUGACGGCCUUCGGGUUGUAAACCUCUUUUAGCAGGGAAGAAGCGAAAGUGACGGUACCUGCAGAAAAAGCGCCGGCUAACUACGUGCCAGCAGCCGCGGUAAUACGUAGGGCGCAAGCGUUAUCCGGAAUUAUUGGGCGUAAAGAGCUCGUAGGCGGUUUGUCGCGUCUGCUGUGAAAUCCCGAGGCUCAACCUCGGGCCUGCAGUGGGUACGGGCAGACUAGAGUGCGGUAGGGGAGAUUGGAAUUCCUGGUGUAGCGGUGGAAUGCGCAGAUAUCAGGAGGAACACCGAUGGCGAAGGCAGAUCUCUGGGCCGUAACUGACGCUGAGGAGCGAAAGGGUGGGGAGCAAACAGGCUUAGAUACCCUGGUAGUCCAC
This 731-nucleotide ribosomal RNA is filed under the name Microbacterium paraoxydans. Its description in RNAcentral is "bacterial SSU rRNA". It matches the Rfam family "Bacterial small subunit ribosomal RNA", at positions 56 to 798 of the family's 1533-position model. The record is from RNAcentral. Lineage: Bacteria; Bacillati; Actinomycetota; Actinomycetes; Micrococcales; Microbacteriaceae.